GACGAACGCUGGCGGCAGGCCUAAUACAUGCAAGUCGAACGAUCCUUCGGGAUAGUGGCGCACGGGUGAGUAACACGUGGGAACAUACCCUUGGGUGCGGAACAACGUCGGGAAACUGACGCUAAUACCGCAUAAUGACUCCGGUCCAAAGAUUUAUCGCCCAAGGAUUGGCCCGCGCUAGAUUAGGUUGUUGGUGAGGUAACGGCUCACCAAGCCUACGAUCUAUAGCUGGUCUGAGAGGAUGAUCAGCCACACUGGGACUGAGACACGGCCCAGACUCCUACGGGAGGCAGCAGUAAGGAAUAUUGGACAAUGGGGGCAACCCUGAUCCAGCCAUGCCGCGUGAGUGAAGAAGGCCUUCGGUUGUAAGCGACUUUAAGACGAGGAGGAAGGUCGUUU
Molecule: ribosomal RNA, 399 nt
Filed under: uncultured bacterium
Lineage: Bacteria
Description: bacterial SSU rRNA
Rfam family: Bacterial small subunit ribosomal RNA
Source: RNAcentral